GCCAGGGAACUACGAGCAAAGCUUAAAACCCAAAGGACUUGACGGUGCCCCAUAUCCCCCUAGAGGAGCCUGUCCUAUAAUCGAUAAUCCCCGCUCUACCUCACCACUUCUAGCUUUUUCAGCCUGUAUACUUCCGUCGUCAGCCUACCGCAUGAGCGAAAUUUAGUUAGCCUAAUGACCAUACUUUAGUUUUGUAUCGUCAAUACGUCAGGUCAAAGUGCAGCAAAUGAUGUGGAAAGAGAUUGGCUACACUCUUUAGCAUAAAAUAAACGGAACACAAAAUGAAACUCUGUGCAAAGGUGGAUUUAGAAGUAAAAAGAAAUCAUAAUAUUCAUUUUAACAAGGCACUGGGACGUGU
RNAcentral lists this ribosomal RNA (358 nucleotides) under Eleutherodactylus hypostenor. RNAcentral describes it as "partial 12S ribosomal RNA". It matches the Rfam family "Bacterial small subunit ribosomal RNA", at positions 871 to 1384 of the family's 1533-position model. The record is from RNAcentral. Lineage: Eukaryota; Metazoa; Chordata; Amphibia; Anura; Eleutherodactylidae.